Molecule: ribosomal RNA, 675 nt
Filed under: soil fungal sp. DM106
Lineage: Eukaryota; Fungi
Description: eukaryotic LSU rRNA
Rfam family: Eukaryotic large subunit ribosomal RNA
Source: RNAcentral
UUUGCAGAGGAUGCUUUUGGCGCGGUGCCUUCCGAGUUCCCUGGAACGGGACGCCAUAGAGGGUGAGAGCCCCGUCUGGUCGGACACCAAGCCAGUGUAAAGCUCCUUCGACGAGUCGAGUAGUUUGGGAAUGCUGCUCUAAAUGGGAGGUAUAUGUCUUCUAAAGCUAAAUACCGGCCAGAGACCGAUAGCGCACAAGUAGAGUGAUCGAAAGAUGAAAAGCACUUUGAAAAGAGGGUUAAACAGUACGUGAAAUUGUUGAAAGGGAAGCGUUUAUGACCAGACUUGGGCCCGGUGAAUCAUCCAGCGUUCUCGCUGGUGCACUUUGCCGGGCUCAGGCCAGCAUCAGUUCGCCGCGGGGGAUAAAGGCUUCGGGAACGUGGCUCCCUCGGGAGUGUUAUAGCCCGUUGCGUAAUACCCUGUGGCGGACUGAGGUUCGCGCUCCGCAAGGAUGCUGGCGUAAUGGUCAUCAGCGACCCGUCUUGAAACACGGACCAAGGAGUCGUCUUCGUAUGCGAGUGUUCGGGUGUCAAACCCCUACGCGUAAUGAAAGUGAACGCANGUGAGAGCUUCNGCGCAUCAUCGACCGAUCCUGAUGUUCUCGGAUGGAUUUGAGUAAGAGCAUACGGGGCCNGACCCGAAAGAANGUGAACUAUGCCUGUAUAGGGUGAAGCC